AAAAGAAGACAUUAUACUGAAAGAUGAGCAACAUCUGAUCAAUUGUCUAAAUUGUGAUCAAACACCGUAGAGAUAUAUGAUAUGACAACAACACUGAGAAUGUGAUUGUUGUGAAACUUCAACGUGAUUGUGCAGUACCUACUGAAGUAACUACCAUAUAUAUGUGGCCAUCCUUUUUCUAUGUGAGCAAAUCCAAAUCAACCAAAGAUAUCUGAAACUACUCAAUGUCUCUGUAGGCAUAUUUUUCAUCGACAUAUUUAUGGUAUCUUGAUGCUUCACUCUUGAUUCUCUUGAGUCCAUCAGAAUGGUCUUCAUGGCGCGGACUUUCUCCUUCAUCUACUAAAAACCUGAUGUCACCAAAAAGACGAAUCAUCUUGUACAUAAAAACAUUACAUCACUAACAAAUUUCUAUGAUCAAUAUAUACUCCUCAUUGUGAAGAUUUAGAGCAUAUCCAAACUGAGAAUAGUUAGAAUAUAUCUAGCUAAUCCUAACUGAGAAGAGUUAGAACAUAUCCAAACUUCCUAGUGAGACUUAUGUAUUUCUAGGAAGCUUAGGCCGGGUUACAAUUAUGUAUGUAAUGCCUUAGGAAAAUCAAAUAAAACAACAAUAAGGGAGCUAGCUACCUCACCCUUUGAUUCAAAGUUGCACAGUGUUGAUGCCCGGGAGGAACAUGCUGCCCAGAAACAAAAGUUUUGUUUUCGUAGAAAAAAACUUGUUGGUAAGCAUGACUGAAAUUACUACCUUGGGUGCGGUAUGGGUUGUCCUCAUCCUGGUCUGCCAACAUGAUCAGCUUUGGCGGCAGCUGGCGAUGUGGUUGCGAGGCUUGGGCGCCAUGGCGAGGACGUCGUCCAGGAUGCCACAUGAGCCUGUCAAGCUCAAGGAUAGGGGGCUUCGGCAGUGGCAAAAGGAUGCACAUAUGGAUGUUCCCUUACCAGGCGUCGUUGUCGACCUGCUAGUCAACAUUCAUCUCUUACUCUGGUUGUGCUAUUAUGCGGGCAUGUGGUGCUUAGUUUUAAUUUCCCUGUCGUUCUUAGACCAUGACUGAUCAAUCACCACCAUACAUUUAUAUGAUCUAUUACUCCGUACUUGUUACUCUUGUUUCUCUGCAUUGUUUG
RNAcentral lists this long non-coding RNA (1116 nucleotides) under Triticum aestivum (bread wheat). RNAcentral describes it as "long non-coding RNA (TAES_LNC001436)". Lineage: Eukaryota; Viridiplantae; Streptophyta; Magnoliopsida; Poales; Poaceae. The record is from RNAcentral.